RNAcentral lists this ribosomal RNA (303 nucleotides) under uncultured bacterium. RNAcentral describes it as "partial 16S ribosomal RNA". It matches the Rfam family "Bacterial small subunit ribosomal RNA", at positions 507 to 807 of the family's 1533-position model. The record is from RNAcentral.
AGCAGUCGCCACGGGAAUACGUAGGUGGCAAGCGUUGUCCGGAAUUAUUGGGCGUAAAGGGCUCGCAGGCGGUUUCUUAAGUCUGAUGUGAAAGCCCCCGGCUCAACCGGGGAGGGUCAUUGGAAACUGGGAAACUUGAGUGCAGAAGAGGAGAGUGGAAUUCCACGUGUAGCGGUGAAAUGCGUAGAGAUGUGGAGGAACACCAGUGGCGAAGGCGACUCUCUGGUCUGUAACUGACGCUGAGGAGCGAAAGCGUGGGGAGCGAACAGGAUUAGAUACCCGGGUAGUCCCUGUCUCUUAUAC